RNAcentral lists this ribosomal RNA (301 nucleotides) under uncultured bacterium. RNAcentral describes it as "partial 16S ribosomal RNA". It matches the Rfam family "Bacterial small subunit ribosomal RNA", at positions 509 to 809 of the family's 1533-position model. The record is from RNAcentral.
CAGCAGCCGCGGGAAUACGGAGGGUGCGAGCGUUAAUCGGAUUUACUGGGCGUAAAGCGUGCGUAGGCGGCUUUUUAAGUCGGAUGUGAAAUCCCUGAGCUUAACUUAGGAAUUGCAUUCGAUACUGGGAAGCUAGAGUAUGGGAGAGGAUGGUAGAAUUCCAGGUGUAGCGGUGAAAUGCGUAGAGAUCUGGAGGAAUACCGAUGGCGAAGGCAGCCAUCUGGCCUAAUACUGACGCUGAGGUACGAAAGCAUGGGGAGCAAACAGGAUUAGAUACCCCAGUAGUCCCUGUCUCUUAUAU